GUGUCAGCCGCCGCGGUAAUACGUAGGGGGCAAGCGUUAUCCGGAUUUACUGGGCGUAAAGAGCGCGUAGGCGGCUUCUUAAGUUGGCAGUGAAAGAUUCCGGCUCAACUGGGAUAAGCCUGUCAAUACUGGGAGGCUUGAGGGCACCAGAGGAAAGUGGAACUCGCGGUGUAGCGGUGAAAUGUGUAGAUAUCGCGAGGAACACCAGUGGCGAAGGCGGCUUUCUGGGGUGUUCCUGACGCUGAGGCGCGAAAGCGUGGGGAGCGAAGCGGAUUAGAAACCCGCGUAGUCC
This 292-nucleotide ribosomal RNA is filed under the name uncultured bacterium. Its description in RNAcentral is "partial 16S ribosomal RNA". It matches the Rfam family "Bacterial small subunit ribosomal RNA", at positions 505 to 796 of the family's 1533-position model. The record is from RNAcentral.